GCCAGUGUGGUGGAGUGGUUUGAGUGUUGGACUAUGACUCCAGAGGCCAGGAUUUGAUUCCCAGCUUGGCCA
RNAcentral lists this transfer RNA (72 nucleotides) under Phrynosoma platyrhinos (Desert horned lizard). RNAcentral describes it as "tRNA-OTHER". The record is from RNAcentral. Lineage: Eukaryota; Metazoa; Chordata; Lepidosauria; Squamata; Phrynosomatidae.